This 1177-nucleotide ribosomal RNA is filed under the name Peribacillus simplex. Its description in RNAcentral is "bacterial SSU rRNA". It matches the Rfam family "Bacterial small subunit ribosomal RNA", at positions 132 to 1292 of the family's 1533-position model. Lineage: Bacteria; Bacillati; Bacillota; Bacilli; Caryophanales; Bacillaceae. The record is from RNAcentral.
AUAAGACUGGGAUAACUUCGGGAAACCGGAGCUAAUACCGGAUACGUUCUUUUCUCGCAUGAGAGAAUAUGGAAAGACGGUUUACGCUGUCACUUAUAGAUGGGCCCGCGGCGCAUUAGCUAGUUGGUGAGGUAAUGGCUCACCAAGGCGACGAUGCGUAGCCGACCUGAGAGGGUGAUCGGCCACACUGGGACUGAGACACGGCCCAGACUCCUACGGGAGGCAGCAGUAGGGAAUCUUCCGCAAUGGACGAAAGUCUGACGGAGCAACGCCGCGUGAACGAAGAAGGCCUUCGGGUCGUAAAGUUCUGUUGUUAGGGAAGAACAAGUACCAGAGUAACUGCUGGUACCUUUGACGGUACCUAACCAGAAAGCCACGGCUAACUACGUGCCAGCAGCCGCGGUAAUACGUAGGUGGCAAGCGUUGUCCGGAAUUAUUGGGCGUAAAGCGCGCGCAGGUGGUUCCUUAAGUCUGAUGUGAAAGCCCACGGCUCAACCGUGGAGGGUCAUUGGAAACUGGGGAACUUGAGUGCAGAAGAGGAAAGUGGAAUUCCAAGUGUAGCGGUGAAAUGCGUAGAGAUUUGGAGGAACACCAGUGGCGAAGGCGACUUUCUGGUCUGUAACUGACACUGAGGCGCGAAAGCGUGGGGAGCAAACAGGAUUAGAUACCCUGGUAGUCCACGCCGUAAACGAUGAGUGCUAAGUGUUAGAGGGUUUCCGCCCUUUAGUGCUGCAGCUAACGCAUUAAGCACUCCGCCUGGGGAGUACGGCCGCAAGGCUGAAACUCAAAGGAAUUGACGGGGGCCCGCACAAGCGGUGGGAGCAUGUGGUUUAAUUCGAAGCAACGCGAAGAACCUUACCAGGUCUUGACAUCCUCUGACAACCCUAGAGAUAGGGCUUUCCCCUUCGGGGGACAGAGUGACAGGUGGUGCAUGGUUGUCGUCAGCUCGUGUCGUGAGAUGUUGGGUUAAGUCCCGCAACGAGCGCAACCCGUGAUCUUAGUUGCCAGCAUUCAGUUGGGCACUCUAAGGUGACUGCCGGUGACAAACCGGAGGAAGGUGGGGAUGACGUCAAAUCAUCAUGCCCCUUAUGACCUGGGCUACACACGUGCUACAAUGGAUGGUACAAAGGGCUGCAAACCUGCGAAGGUAAGCGAAUCCCAUAAAGCCAUUCUCAGU